RNAcentral lists this long non-coding RNA (277 nucleotides) under Mytilus galloprovincialis (Mediterranean mussel). Lineage: Eukaryota; Metazoa; Mollusca; Bivalvia; Mytilida; Mytilidae. The record is from RNAcentral.
GUCGGCAAUCAAUACUUUUUUUUUAAUAUUUGAAAUUAUAGAAUUUGGCAAAGUAUGGAAAACUUUUACACAGACCAAUACCUACAUCACAGAUUACCAGCAGGUCGAAAUCCGAUUUUGAAUAAUACAAUUAUUUUUUUUACUAGAUGUGAUUUUUUUAAGUAACUGCUAUAUGUGCAUGUUUACAUAGUUCAGUGUUUUCUCAAGCGAACAACUAUGGACCGUCAGGAAUGCAUUUCAUGCAUUUUUUAUACUCAACAAUAUUUUUGGUUCCGCG